CCUACGGGAGGCAGCAGUGGGGAAUUUUGGACAAUGGACGCAAGUCUGAUCCAGCCAUGCCGCGUGUGGGAAGAAGGCCUUCGGGUUGUAAACCACUUUUGUCAGGGAAGAAACGGUCUAGGUUAAUACCUUGGGCUAAUGACGGUACCUGAAGAAUAAGCACCGGCUAACUACGUGCCAGCAGCCGCGGUAAUACGUAGGGUGCAAGCGUUAAUCGGAAUUACUGGGCGUAAAGCGUGCGCAGGCGGUUAUGCAAGACAGAUGUGAAAUCCCCGGGCUCAACCUGGGAACUGCAUUUGUGACUGCAUGGCUAGAGUACGGUAGAGGGGGAUGGAAUUCCGCGUGUAGCAGUGAAAUGCGUAGAUAUGCGGAGGAACACCGAUGGCGAAGGCAAUCCCCUGGACCUGUACUGACGCUCAUGCACGAAAGCGUGGGGAGCAAACAGGAUUAGAUACCCUGGUAGUCCACGCCCUAAACGAUGUCAACUGGUUGUUGGGAGGGUUUCUUCUCAGUAACGUAGCUAACGCGUGAAGUUGACCGCCUGGGGAGUACGGCCGCAAGGUUGAAACGUCAAAGGAAUUGACGG
Molecule: ribosomal RNA, 586 nt
Filed under: uncultured bacterium
Lineage: Bacteria
Description: bacterial SSU rRNA
Rfam family: Bacterial small subunit ribosomal RNA
Source: RNAcentral